Molecule: transfer RNA, 91 nt
Filed under: Aureobasidium namibiae CBS 147.97
Lineage: Eukaryota; Fungi; Ascomycota; Dothideomycetes; Dothideales; Saccotheciaceae
Rfam family: tRNA
About the family: Transfer RNA (tRNA) molecules are approximately 80 nucleotides in length. Their secondary structure includes four short double-helical elements and three loops (D, anti-codon, and T loops).
Source: Rfam by way of RNAcentral
GAUCGAUUAGCUCAGUUGGUUAGAGCGUGGUGCUAAUAUCUUCCGAUAUUCUGAUACGCCAAGGUCAAGGGUUCGACCCCCCUAUUGAUCA